Molecule: non-coding RNA, 71 nt
Organism: Ictidomys tridecemlineatus (thirteen-lined ground squirrel)
Lineage: Eukaryota; Metazoa; Chordata; Mammalia; Rodentia; Sciuridae
Source: Rfam
UGGGCUAUAGCUCAGUGGAAAAGUACUCCCCCAACACGAUGAGGCCCUGGGUUCAAUUCCCAGCAGCACAA